Taeniopygia guttata (zebra finch) is the source of this 4651-nucleotide long non-coding RNA. Lineage: Eukaryota; Metazoa; Chordata; Aves; Passeriformes; Estrildidae. The record is from Ensembl.
GCAAGGGAAUUUCAAAUACUUACAAAAUCCCUAUGACCCAGACCAGUGUGGCCCAGCCCAGAGCUGUCUGGGAAAAACCGCCUGUGGAUGCCAUUGCAAGGAGAUGUGGAAGGGCCAUUGGACACCAACAGGAACUACCGUUGUAUGCAUUUGAAAAUAGCCUGAGACAAAGCAGCCAAAACUAUUUACUGCUUUUGUCUCCAUGUUAAAGGCAUGGAGUGGGAGGCUUGUAAUAUCUGAUUCAUGUGAUGCUUGCCUCAGAGGAGCCAAGAGUUGUUACCAAAACUGUGGCCUAGGCAGCAGAGGGAUAUUCUGGCAACCAACUACAAAGGCUCAUGUGGUUGAGCUAUUUAGACUUUGGAGCAGUGAGUUUUUCUUGAUUCCCAGUGUUUUAAUCCAAAUGUGCAGGUGUUUACAACAAUGACCUACAAAUCUCUACCAAAACGAAUGCAAUCCCUUCUGCUUUUGGGGAAAAGAGUAGUUUGGUAAUCUCCUACUGCAAUCUUCCUCUUUAUUUUAAGAGUAAUUGUCCUGACCUAGCAACUCUGAUGCCUUUUGUAUUUACCCAAGUUUUGCAUACUUGAAUGGUAAUGCAAACUCAGGCACAGAGAUAUAAACUAUGAAGCCUCUUGUAUUUUUUUUCAAACAUCACAUGUAAUCUUGCUGUCUGCUUCUGCUCUAAUUUAUGGGACUCCUUGUGUGAGAACAUGGCCUUGGAGAUUUUUGCUUCAGGUCUCUUCAGGUCUCAUUGUGUUCACAAUGGCAGAGCCCCUUUCAAGAUUCAGUCUGAGCUGGUGAAUUUUUUGCCUGUAAUAUUCCAGUUGCUUUGUAAAGGCUGACUUCAGGGACUUGCCAUAGACUGGCAAGCUGAGUAUUUGUCCUCAGUACCUAGAAAUUAUUUACAGGGUCCCCUCAUGUCUCAGCCACCAAACUGAGCCAAAAAAAUGUUGGAUUCAAGUAUGGAAGAACUCCUUUUCGAGGUUAUGUGAUAAAGCUCACAUCUCGACAGGCACGGAGAAUCCCAGGGACAUGAGACCAGUCAGGGAAAGGCACAUGGUCUCUCCCAAGGCUGUCUCAGCAGGGCCUCCAGACCCGUGUGUGGGGAUGACACCCAGCACUGAUGGUGGCUGGUCCCCAGAGCACUCUUCAGACUGCUGGAGACACUGCCUAGGGCUAUGGGACAUGUUACAGGAGGCAGGGGAAGAGUAUUUUGGGAUCAUUCAGUGUUUAUUAUCAGGGGUUUAGGGGAGGGAAAGAGAGGGAUAAAGGCAAGUUGAGGAGGAAGAAAUGUCUGGGAAAAUAGAAUUAGGGCUGGUUGUAGGUAAGCAGGCUGAUGGUCAUUGGCUUUUCUGGCCAUCUCCUGUCCCUGGCCAGCUCAUUAUGUCCUACCUUCUUAUUCACUCAAUUUCUAUCUUCCCUUGUGAGGGGGUUGCCUGCUGUGUUCCUGUGUGUUGGGAGGUCUGCAUGACAGUAGCUGGAGCUGGGCCAUGGUCUAGUGAACCACAUAACUAUGGUGCCAGCAGUCACCAUAGUAAAAGUGUACAGCGUUUAAUAGCUAGCAGAUAUCAAACUGGUCUUGCCAGUAAGUUGAAUAACUGUCUUGGAAGCCAGAUACCAGCCUUUUUUUUCCCCUUCAUCUUAUUUUAAAAGUAAUUUUCACAUGGAAUACAGCACUCAACUUGCUGCAGUAUAAUCUCAUAAUCAGCUCCUUAUUAAUAUAAAUCUGUUGAAAAUUUCAUUUGACAAACAGUGUUUUAAUAAAAAGCUGCCUUUGGAGUCUUUCUGACUCUUCCCUGUUUUGAAGGCACCUGCUGCUAGCAAAUUAAACAUGAAACCUUUCUUUGAUGCUUUUUCUGAUGUCUACACUGUUUUAGUGUUUCAACUGGCGUUGCAGCAUUUUGACUGCCUGUUUGGUCCUAGCGAUAGGUGUUGAUCAGCCAUCGGUUGAACCCUAAGUGAGACGCUGAUGCACACACAGCGACAAGCAUUGCUUAACUUCUGCACGAGACAAAAAGCAUUUCCAACUGCCUUGCACUAAAUCUUUUAAAGAAUGUAGCUCCUCAGAAAGUGCCUUUUCUUGCCUACUAGCUUUUCUUGGUGGAGCAGGUCCAGGAUAAAACACAUAAUUAAAACCUGUCAUGCUUCAAUCACUUCAGGGCAAAUAAUCCAGAUAAGUAUUUUGGUUUUACAAGUGGGCAAGUGGGUAAAUUUGGUAUUUCCUGUGACAUAAUCCAAAUUUAUGGCAGCAGACUUAUUUGUAUGCCAGAUCAUGUACAGGGUGCAGUCAGUUUGGUGCCACAGCUUUUCUUGAAGAUGAUUCAUAUCAGACUUAUAAACAUAACACAUUAUCACAUCAAACGAUGUCUAAUAUCUAUUCUUGGAAAUGAACAAGAGUGAUGAGAUAAGGACUGUAACAGAACAUUGCAGUUUGCUGGAAAUAAGUUCUUUCUUACUUUAGUGAAAAGCUGCAUUUCUUUAGGCCUCUCUCUAUAUAUAUAUAUAUACAUAUACAAAUCUCCAAAGAUCUCUCAGUAAAUUAUUCUCAUAUGGUUUCACAUUUAAUGUGAUUGUUUGAAGCAAUAUCCUGUGGUAUUGACCCGUCAUACCUGAAUGGAAAAACUAAGAAGAUUUAACUGCAGAAAACUUUUAUCUAAGAAAGGUACAUGAUAGGUGGGUCCCAUAACAGUCAUGUGUGGGAGUUAAAAUACAGACAGAUCUGACAAGAGAACUGUACCUUGUGGAGUUAAAAUCAAACCAAGCAUAACCUUGAUUCAAUAGAAUUUACUCAUUUCGAGGCAGACAUGGGUUAUGCAAAUUAUCCUGGCCAACAUAAUUUCUGAAACUAUCAUAGUCUAUCUAACUCGUGAUAAGGCAGCAUUGAAAGAGGGAAAUUGCUUUCAUUUAUUUUAACUAUUAGCUGAUGCACUGCUUUUCAUACAGGAGCUCAUCUUCACCAGAGUGUUCUCAACUUGUUAUAUGCACAGAACCUCUCUUGGAAGACCACUGUUAGCGUUUCAUUUGCUCUUCAGCACAUGAAGCAGUUUUUGUCACUCUACAGUGUGCAAUGUUUUGUGGAAGAACAAAUUACUAAUGCUGUCAUAUUUCUAUGUGAUUGGUCAUUGAGUGAUUCCAUAGGAAGGGCCCAAAUCCAGAUUAAGGUUAUCUGUAUUUUUUCCAUAUUUCCUAGUACUUAAAUUUGCCAUAUUUGUAAUAUUUUGAGGUGAUUGUGCCUAUGUGAACGUACCAGGAGGCACAGGGUUCCAGCAGAUAUCCUUUCUCAGGCUGCAUCCAAGACAACUCCAACUAUGUCCAAAUUACUUUUACGAUGCAAUAUACAGCUGUGUACAACUCACCUGUAAUGUCAAAAUAUAAGCCUGAGCAACUGACUCUUAUGAUUGAGAUAAAACUAUUACUGAGGUUGGUGCAAUAGCAAUUUAUUGAGCAAAUUAUAUGCUAAAUGUGCACCGCAGGUAUGAACACUUUACAAAACAGGAAGAGUCAAAAGCGGCUAAAAACUGUGUAUUGUUGGCUUGGUGAUUCAUUUUCAUGGAAAGGCUGAGAACUUGAUGAAGAUUGCACUUGGUGGUAUUUGUUCUAACCUUCUGCAAAUAAGAACCUGUCUUGCUAGAGUGGCAUCUUUAUUAUUUCCUGUUAUAUUAUCCCCAUCCAAAUUUCCCCAUCUUAACUUUUUUUCCUCUGCACCUCUGAGCCAUGCAACUAAAGUGGCAAUCAAGGAAGAAGUUGAAACUACUCUUCAGGUUUUCCACGCUAACAUGUUACUCAGAAUUUAUAAUAGAAAAUGAAUCCCAUCCCUGCAAAUUGUUACCUUUUUCCCCCCAGAAAUUUAAAAAACAUUACUGAAUCUUCUGUUUAGAUAGUGGAGGUCAUCCAUGGACAAGCAGGAAAAACUCCAGUGUAGAAUGCUGGCUCAGUCUCUGAUUCCUCCUUCAGAGCUGUCACAAAUUUUGUCUUAAUAAAGACUUCAUUGGUGUAAAAGCUUCAUCUGAGGACUUUAGUCCUAAAAUUAGAAGCAUCUUUUCUCAUAUAAAGGUAACAUGAUUAUUGAAGCACGCUUUGAUGACCAAAAUUCUCAAGACUGAAAUAAAAUUAAACAAAUUUGGUUUACUGCCCAGAGUAUAGCUAAGCAAUCAGAUUUCAAAUGAUUGGUCUCAACCUUUAUUCAGCAUAAAAAAUUGGGGGGAUUUAAAGGUUAACAGCUUUAAACUAAGACAUAAGUUUACACUAUCGGUCAUUACAGAUGAAUUGAAUAGAUGCAAAAGAUUUUGGUAUGUAAAGUUGUACUAAAUAUUGUAGUAUUUUUCUAAAGUUCAGGGUUAUGAGUGCAGGUUCCUAUAUUAUAUAGCUCAGAAAAGGCAGGAACAAUCAGGUUAAUCUGCUCAGUACUACAUCUUGAACAGUAUGCAGUGUAUUUCUGUAAAAAAAUAAUUUUCAGAAUAUGUUCUUAAACAUUUCUGUACCAUCAAUAUUUGAGACAUAAAAAAUAUUUUUAAUUAUUAAGAUAUUGUGACAGUGUUAUUAGAUUGGUCCUUGCUACAUCAGCUCUUUGGUUGUCUCUCUAGUAAGCAAGGAUGGAAAGCAGUCCAAAAAUAUGUAAAAGGACAAAUACAUUAAAAACAGACAAUACACUAUU